AAUUCUCAACCUACACUGACUUUUGAUUGGUGUGGCUUGGAUUUGGGAUUGUGGGCUAUUGUCGUAGUCUGCUCCCCUGAAAUUGAUUAGCAGUGCCUUGGUGGAACUGUCUACAGGUGUGAUAAUUAUCUACAUCCUAGACAUCUGCUUGAUGCUGCUUUCUAAACCUUACCUCUAUUGACAA
RNAcentral lists this unclassified non-coding RNA (184 nucleotides) under uncultured Inocybe. Its description in RNAcentral is "sequence contains ITS2". Lineage: Eukaryota; Fungi; Basidiomycota; Agaricomycetes; Agaricales; Cortinariaceae. The record is from RNAcentral.